Molecule: non-coding RNA, 20 nt
Filed under: Arabidopsis thaliana (thale cress)
Lineage: Eukaryota; Viridiplantae; Streptophyta; Magnoliopsida; Brassicales; Brassicaceae
Source: RNAcentral
UGUGAUGCCCUUAGAUGUUC